UCAAAGGCUCUUUUAAGAGCCACUCCAAAACUUUCCCUGAAAGAGCGU
Non-coding RNA from Pelodiscus sinensis (Chinese soft-shelled turtle), 48 nucleotides. The record is from Rfam. Lineage: Eukaryota; Metazoa; Chordata; Testudines; Trionychidae.